CCUGUGAAUGAGGCACGUGCAGCAAAGUUGCCUUAGCUAAAUAGCAGAUAAAUAGCAAACCUCCAGAUCUGUAAAUUGGCUUCUGCUAAAUGUAAUAACCAAGACCAGGAGGAAUUUCCCAGUGAGUUCUCUGCUUUCUGUGGCCACCCACCUCCAUUGCCUAUUGCCUCUGAGUAUGGAGUAUUAACAGUUUCUGUUCAAUAAUUAAUAAGAUGGCUAGAAGAUGGUGGAAGAGUAAGACAUGGAGAUCACCUUCCUCCCCACAAAUACAUCAGAAAUACAUCUACAUGUGGAACAAUUCUUACAGAACACCUACUGAAUGCUGGCAGAA
Molecule: long non-coding RNA, 331 nt
Organism: Balaenoptera acutorostrata (minke whale)
Lineage: Eukaryota; Metazoa; Chordata; Mammalia; Artiodactyla; Balaenopteridae
Exons: 3
Source: RefSeq, a predicted model, not a curated record